GAUGAACGCUGGCGGCGUGCCUAAUACAUGCAAGUCGAGCGAACGGACGAGAAGCUUGCUUCUCUGAUGUUAGCGGCGGACGGGUGAGUAACACGUGGAUAACCUACCUAUAAGACUGGGAUAACUUCGGGAGACCGGAGAUAAUACCGGAUAAUAUUUUGAACCGCAUGGUUCAAAAGUGAAAGACGGUCCUGCUGUCACUUAUAGAUGGAUCCGCGCUGCAUUAGCUAGUUGGUAAGGUAACGGCUUACCAAGGCAACGAUGCAUAGCCGACCUGAGAGGGUGAUCGGCCACACUGGAACUGAGACACGGUCCAGACUCCUACGGGAGGCAGCAGUAGGGAAUCUUCCGCAAUGGGCGAAAGCCUGACGGAGCAACGCCGCGUGAGUGAUGAAGGUCUUCGGAUCGUAAAACUCUUUUAUUAGGGAAGAACAUAUGUGUAAGUAACUGUGCACAUCUUGACGGUACCUAAUCAGAAAGCCACGGCUAACUACGUG
RNAcentral lists this ribosomal RNA (497 nucleotides) under uncultured bacterium. Its description in RNAcentral is "partial 16S ribosomal RNA". It matches the Rfam family "Bacterial small subunit ribosomal RNA", at positions 28 to 507 of the family's 1533-position model. The record is from RNAcentral.